Molecule: ribosomal RNA, 253 nt
Filed under: uncultured bacterium
Lineage: Bacteria
Description: partial 16S ribosomal RNA
Rfam family: Bacterial small subunit ribosomal RNA
Source: RNAcentral
UACGAAGGGGGCUAGCGUUGUUCGGAAUUACUGGGCGUAAAGCGCGCGCAGGCGGUCCUUUAAGUCAGGGGUGAAAGCCCAGAGCUCAACUCUGGAACUGCCUUUGAAACUAGAGGAUUUGGGUACGGGAGAGGUGAGUGGAAUUCCGAGUGUAGAGGUGAAAUUCGUAGAUAUUCGGAAGAACACCAGUGGCGAAGGCGGCUCACUGGCCCGUUACCGACGCUCAGGCGCGACAGCGUGGGGAGCAAACAGG